This 480-nucleotide ribosomal RNA is filed under the name uncultured bacterium. Its description in RNAcentral is "bacterial SSU rRNA". It matches the Rfam family "Bacterial small subunit ribosomal RNA", at positions 27 to 507 of the family's 1533-position model. The record is from RNAcentral.
GGACGAACGCUGGCGGCGUGCUUAAUACAUGCAAGUCAACUUGACUUUAGAUAGCAAUAUCGAAAAGUAGGGUGGCGCACGGGUGCGUAACGCGUAGGUAAUCUGCCCUGAGGUCUGACAUAACCCGUCGAAAGGCGGGCUAACAUCAGAUGAUAUAUAAUCACGACAUCGUGGAAAUAUCAAAUCUUCGGAGCCUUGGGAUGAGCCUGCGUCUGAUUAGGUAGUUGGCGGAGUAAUAGCCCACCAAGCCUACGAUCAGUAGCUGGUCUGAGAGGAUGAUCAGCCACACUGGAACUGAGACACGGUCCAGACUCCUACGGGAGGCAGCAGUAAGGAAUAUUGCUCAAUGGGGGAAACCCUGAAGCAGCAACGCCGCGUGAAGGAUGAAAUACUUUGUAUGUAAACUUCUGUAAGAUGGGGAAAAUAUUCUCCUCGGGAGAAUUGAUUGUACCAUCAGAGUAAGCCCCGGCUAACUACGUG